UUUCAACAACGGAUCUCUUGGUUCUGGCAUCGAUGAAGAACGCAGCGAAAUGCGAUAAGUAAUGUGAAUUGCAGAAUUCAGUGAAUCAUCGAAUCUUUGAACGCACAUUGCGCCCGCCAGUAUUCUGGCGGGCAUGCCUGUUCGAGCGUCAUUUCAAC
This 158-nucleotide ribosomal RNA is filed under the name Collariella bostrychodes. RNAcentral describes it as "5.8S ribosomal RNA". It matches the Rfam family "5.8S ribosomal RNA". From Rfam's summary of the family: 5.8S ribosomal RNA (5.8S rRNA) is a component of the large subunit of the eukaryotic ribosome. It is transcribed by RNA polymerase I as part of the 45S precursor that also contains 18S and 28S rRNA. Functionally, it is thought that 5.8S rRNA may be involved in ribosome translocation. Lineage: Eukaryota; Fungi; Ascomycota; Sordariomycetes; Sordariales; Chaetomiaceae. The record is from RNAcentral.